GGAUAGCCUUGCGAAAGUAAGAUUAAUACCCGGCGGUCUCGGACGGCCGCAUGACUGUCCGAGUGAAGAUUUAUCGGUAUGAGAUGGCGAUGCGUCCCAUUAGCUUGUUGGUGAGGUAACGGCUCACCAAGGCAUCGAUGGGUAGGGGUUCUGAGAGGAAGGUCCCCCACAUUGGAACUGAGACACGGUCCAAACUCCUACGGGAGGCAGCAGUGAGGAAUAUUGGUCAAUGGACGAAAGUCUGAACCAGCCAAGUAGCGUGCAGGACGACGGCCCUCUGGGUUGUAAACUGCUUUUAGUUGGGAAUAAAAAGAGGGACGUGUCCCUUAUUGUAUGUACCAUCAGAAAAAGGACCGGCUAAUUCCGUGCCAGCAGCCGCGGUAAUACGGAAGGUCCAGGCGUUAUCCGGAUUUAUUGGGUUUAAAGGGAGCGCAGGCGGCGGCGUAAGUCAGUUGUGAAAUCGUGCGGCUUAACCGUGCAAUUGCAGUUGAUACUGCGUCGCUUGAGUGCACACAGGGAUGUUGGAAUUCAUGGUGUAGCGGUGAAAUGCUUAGAUAUCAUGAAGAACUCCGAUCGCGAAGGCAUAUGUCCGGAGUGCAACUGACGCUGAGGCUCGAAAGUGUGGGUAUCAAACAGGAUUAGAUACCCUGGUAGUCCACACAGUAAACGAUGAAUACUCGCGGUUGGUUCGUUAGAAUCAGCCGCCAAG
RNAcentral lists this ribosomal RNA (709 nucleotides) under uncultured bacterium. RNAcentral's name for it is "bacterial SSU rRNA". It matches the Rfam family "Bacterial small subunit ribosomal RNA", at positions 141 to 851 of the family's 1533-position model. The record is from RNAcentral.